RNAcentral lists this long non-coding RNA (268 nucleotides) under Ursus maritimus (polar bear). RNAcentral describes it as "lncRNA (ENSUMAG00000023897.1)". The record is from RNAcentral. Lineage: Eukaryota; Metazoa; Chordata; Mammalia; Carnivora; Ursidae.
GAUGUGAAAGUGGGAGGGAUAUGAAGGGCAUCUCUUAGCACAAAACCCCUCAGCUGUAUUUUCAGCUUAGAAGCAAACGAUUGGCUUUGAGAUCCUCUUCUGCCGUGUAUUAACUGAAUGAUCUUGAAUGGAGUCCGCUCAAGUUUUAAGUUGUGUCCUCGACUGAAAAAUGCAGAUGACACCCCUACUUCAAAGGUAGAGCUCUUGUGAGGACAAAGUCUGAUCAUGGCUACGGAAAACUACAAGGACAGCGAACUGAAAGGACUGU